Non-coding RNA from Brachypodium distachyon (stiff brome), 141 nucleotides. The record is from Rfam. NCBI's taxonomy places the organism in Eukaryota, Viridiplantae, Streptophyta, Magnoliopsida, Poales, Poaceae.
AUUGUACUUCCUCUGUCCAACCAAGGAUGUCUCAACUUUGAUUAAAUUUGCAUGCAUCUAUACACUAAGUUAUGUUUAGAUACAUCUAAAUUUUGAUAAACUUGAGACAUCUUUUGUUGGACGGAGGGACGGGAGUAAGUA